UACGUAGGCAGCGAGCGUUGUUCGGAGUUACUGGGCGUAAAGGGUGUGUAGGCGGUUCUCUAAGUCUGGUGUGAAAUCUCCCGGCUCAACUGGGAGGGUGCGCCGGAAACUGGAGAGCUAGAGUGCGGGAUGGGAGAGUGGAAUUCCUGGUGUAGCGGUGAAAUGCGUAGAUAUCAGGAGGAACACCUGUGGUGUAGACGGCUCUCUGGACCGUAACUGACGCUGAGACACGAAAGCGUGGGUAGCAAACAGG
Molecule: ribosomal RNA, 253 nt
Filed under: uncultured bacterium
Lineage: Bacteria
Also listed under: 1 other name
Description: partial 16S ribosomal RNA
Rfam family: Bacterial small subunit ribosomal RNA
Source: RNAcentral